RNAcentral lists this ribosomal RNA (497 nucleotides) under uncultured bacterium. Its description in RNAcentral is "partial 16S ribosomal RNA". It matches the Rfam family "Bacterial small subunit ribosomal RNA", at positions 28 to 507 of the family's 1533-position model. The record is from RNAcentral.
GAUGAACGCUGGCGGCGUGCCUAAUACAUGCAAGUCGAGCGAACGGACGAGAAGCUUGCUUCUCUGAUGUUAGCGGCGGACGGGUGAGUAACACGUGGAUAACCUACCUAUAAGACUGGGAUAACUUCGGGAAACCGGAGCUAAUACCGGAUAAUAUUUUGAACCGCAUGGUUCAAAAGUGAAAGACGGUCUUGCUUUCACUUAUAGAUGGAUCCGCGCUGCAUUAGCUAGUUGGUAAGGUAACGGCUUACCAAGGCAACGAUGAAUAGCCGACCUGAGAGGGUGAUCGGCCACACUGGAACUGAGACACGGUCCAGACUCCUACGGGAGGCAGCAGUAGGGAAUCUUCCGCAAUGGGCGAAAGCCUGACGGAGCAACGCCGCGUGAGUGAUGAAGGUCUUCGGAUCGUAAAACUCUGUUAUUAGGGAAGAACAUAUGUGUAAGUAACUGUGCACAUCUUGACGGUACCUAAUCAGAAAGCCACGGCUAACUACGUG